RNAcentral lists this ribosomal RNA (778 nucleotides) under fungal sp. RNAcentral describes it as "eukaryotic LSU rRNA". The stretch from base 486 to 778 matches the Rfam family "Eukaryotic large subunit ribosomal RNA", at positions 1 to 297 of the family's 3401-position model. Lineage: Eukaryota; Fungi. The record is from RNAcentral.
CGGAGGGAUCAUUACCGAGUUUACAACUCCCAAACCCCUGUGAACAUACCAAUUGUUGCCUCGGCGGAUCAGCCCGCUCCCGGUAAAACGGGACGGCCCGCCAGAGGACCCCUAAACUCUGUUUCUAUAUGUAACUUCUGAGUAAAACCAUAAAUAAAUCAAAACUUUCAACAACGGAUCUCUUGGUUCUGGCAUCGAUGAAGAACGCAGCAAAAUGCGAUAAGUAAUGUGAAUUGCAGAAUUCAGUGAAUCAUCGAAUCUUUGAACGCACAUUGCGCCCGCCAGUAUUCUGGCGGGCAUGCCUGUUCGAGCGUCAUUUCAACCCUCAAGCCCCCGGGUUUGGUGUUGGGGAUCGGCGAGCCCUUGCGGCAAGCCGGCCCCGAAAUCUAGUGGCGGUCUCGCUGCAGCUUCCAUUGCGUAGUAGUAAAACCCUCGCAACUGGUACGCGGCGCGGCCAAGCCGUUAAACCCCCAACUUCUGAAUGUUGACCUCGGAUCAGGUAGGAAUACCCGCUGAACUUAAGCAUAUCAAUAAGCGGAGGAAAAGAAACCAACAGGGAUUGCCCUAGUAACGGCGAGUGAAGCGGCAACAGCUCAAAUUUGAAAUCUGGCUCUCGGGCCCGAGUUGUAAUUUGUAGAGGAUACUUUUGAUGCGGUGCCUUCCGAGUUCCCUGGAACGGGACGCCAUAGAGGGUGAGAGCCCCGUCUGGUUGGAUGCCAAAUCUCUGUAAAGUUCCUUCGACGAGUCGAGUAGUUUGGGAAUGCUGCUCUAAAUGGGA